CUGGGUAUACGCAGCUGCGUAA
This 22-nucleotide microRNA is filed under the name Human gammaherpesvirus 8. Its description in RNAcentral is "kshv-miR-K12-9-3p". Its record names the gene kshv-miR-K12-9-3p. The record is from miRBase by way of RNAcentral. Lineage: Duplodnaviria; Heunggongvirae; Peploviricota; Herviviricetes; Herpesvirales; Orthoherpesviridae.